UGCGAGAGGAGCUGGUUCGAAGGCAGACCCAGCAGGCCUCACUCCAUACCCUGUGGGCCCAGCUGCAGCCCGAGCACACAGACGACAGUGACGAGGCCCAGGAGAAACUGCACGUGACCGGCAGCAAGAUGAAGAUCCUAAAGAGGGAGGUGACUGAAGACCUCAAGGAAAUACAGCAGCGGCUGGAGAAUGAGCCUACAUGUGACGAACAAGACCAAAGAGUAUCUACGGAGCCUUCAGAGGGAGUGGUGCAGUCAAUGAGGAAAUCUUUCAGUUCAAGAGAGAGGAAGGACCCAGCCCAGCCGAGGUCAUUCUUCCUCCGUCUGCUCCGCGCGGCCUUCCCCCUGCACCUCCUCCUGCUGCUGCUCCUCCUGCUGCCCUGCCUGGUCCCCAUGUCGCCCCCUGAACAGAGCUGCACAGUGGCCAACAACUUCGCACGCUCCUUCUACCCAAUGCUACGCUACACCAACGGACCUCCUCCGACAUGACACAUCGAUAAGAAAAUAUUCACACAGAUGUGAAAUACUGUCAUCCUAAGACAAUGUUGGUUCAGACCGGACUGUAUUGACUGGAGUGUAAAAGAGCGAUAAUUUACAAUAUUGUUUAUAAAGUCAAACCAAGCUUUAGAAAUUCUGAAAGAAAGUGUUAACCAUUAACAGAACAGCUCAAAUUUGGGUUUCAUUUUAACUUGUCAAAUUGUAAAGGUAUUUUAAACCUUUUGUCUAUUAUUGUGCAUAAAUUGUGUAUGCUUUAUUUUUAUAUUGGAGUAAGAAAGAAAAAACUGUUUUAUACUUGGAACACUGGUUAAUUUAAAUAUAUUUAAAAUGAUCAUGUCCCAUUAAUAUGUAUGUGAAGGCUAUUUCUAUGAUAUUGUAGACUUAAUUAUGUAAAGAAUUUCUUAAUAUAAUUAGAUUCGAUCAGAGGACACGCAGAGACUAAUUAAAAUCGAGUUGGAUUUCCUUUUGCCUCAGUUGUUUCUCUCUUCCCUCUCAAUAAGGACUUAUGGGACUGGGACACAACAUCUUUGCAAAGUAUACAAGACUAUACUGUAAAAUGUUAAUUACUGUUAUCUACUGCCAUCACUGAUCUAGGUCAGAGCGUGUGUGGGAGAGAGAUUUGAACUUUCAACCAUGAGAUCACAGGCAGCAUGGCGCUUCCUGUCAAGGGCUCUACUCACUCAGCUACUGCCAUAUCCAACAAGACAUCCUUAAAUGUCAUUCAUCUGAGCAAAAUGAAUUGUGCACAUCCAUAAACUUAAUCAAAAGUCCUUAAUGACGGUAUGAGUCAGAGUGCGCUGGUUAUUAUUGCAUUUAAAUGUAUGUGUCUGCUGUCCUGACAUUGUGGGUCACCUGUGACAUUGGCUUGUUGGUUUGACUUCUGCCAAGGAGUGUUCUGUGGGAAAAGUGUUUUGUCCAAUCAGACAUCUUAAAAUGUCAUCAAUCUGUACAGAAUUGUGACCAUCUGAUAAGUUAAGUAAAAAUACCUCAUGACAGUAUCAGUCAGUGUGAGCUCAUGUGGUUUAAGGCCCAGAGCAAUGAAAUGUGUCUUCUGUUCUGAGAGUGUGGGUUCUAGUCCCACUUGUGUCAAUAAUCUGUCACUUCAACUUCUGCCUGUGAUGAUGUUCUGUG
This is a long non-coding RNA of Neogobius melanostomus (round goby), 1628 nucleotides long. NCBI's taxonomy places the organism in Eukaryota, Metazoa, Chordata, Actinopteri, Gobiiformes, Gobiidae. The record is from Ensembl.